Molecule: ribosomal RNA, 429 nt
Filed under: Bacteroidota bacterium
Lineage: Bacteria; Pseudomonadati; Bacteroidota
Description: Bacteroidetes bacterium partial 16S ribosomal RNA
Rfam family: Bacterial small subunit ribosomal RNA
Source: RNAcentral
UAGGGAAUCUUCGGCAAUGGGGGGAACCCUGACCGAGCAACGCCGCGUGAGUGAAGUAGGUUUUCGGAUCGUAAAGCUCUGUUGUUAAGGAAGAACGAGUGUGAGAAUGGAAAGUUCAUACUGUGACGGUACUUAACCAGAAAGGGACGGCUAACUACGUGCCAGCAGCCGCGGUAAUACGUAGGUCCCGAGCGUUGUCCGGAUUUAUUGGGCGUAAAGCGAGCGCAGGCGGUUAGAUAAGUCUGAAGUUAAAGGCAGUGGCUCAACCAUUGUAGGCUUUGGAAGCUGUUUAACUUGAGUGCAGAAGGGGAGAGUGGAAUUCCAUGUGUAGCGGUGAAAUGCGUAGAUAUAUGGAGGAACACCGGUGGCGAAAGCGGCUCUCUGGUCUGUAACUGACGCUGAGGCUCGAAAGCGUGGGGAGCGAACAGG